GUGCAGUGGCGGACGGGUGAGUAACGCGUGAGAAUCUGGCUCCAGGUUCGGGACAACCACUGGAAACGGUGGCUAAUACCGGAUGUGCCUUUGGGUGAAAGAUUAAUUGCCUGGAGAUGAGCUCGCGUCUGAUUAGCUAGUUGGUGGGGUAAAGGCUCACCAAGGCGACGAUCAGUAGCUGGUCUGAGAGGACGAUCAGCCACACUGGGACUGAGACACGGCCCAGACUCCUACGGGAGGCAGCAGUGGGGAAUUUUCCGCAAUGGGCGAAAGCCUGACGGAGCAAUACCGCGUGAGGGAGGAAGGCUCUUGGGUUGUAAACCUCUUUUCUCAGGGAAGAACAAAAUGACGGUACCUGAGGAAUCAGCAUCGGCUAACUCCGUGCCAGCAGCCGCGGUAAUACGGAGGAUGCAAGCGUUAUCCGGAAUGAUUGGGCGUAAAGGGUUCGCAGGUGGUAGUGAAAGUUUGCUGUUAAAAGUCGGGGCUCAACCCCGAACCGGCGGUGAAAACUACACAACUAGAGUGCGGUAGGGGCAGAGGGAAUUCCUGGUGUAGCGGUGAAAUGCGUAGAGCUCAGGAAGAACACCGGUGGCGAAAGCGCUCUGCUAGACCGUAACUGACACUGAGGGACGAAAGCUAGGGGAGCGAAUGGGAUUAGAUA
This 661-nucleotide ribosomal RNA is filed under the name uncultured cyanobacterium. RNAcentral's name for it is "bacterial SSU rRNA". It matches the Rfam family "Bacterial small subunit ribosomal RNA", at positions 90 to 784 of the family's 1533-position model. The record is from RNAcentral. Lineage: Bacteria; Bacillati; Cyanobacteriota.